This 301-nucleotide ribosomal RNA is filed under the name uncultured bacterium. RNAcentral's name for it is "partial 16S ribosomal RNA". It matches the Rfam family "Bacterial small subunit ribosomal RNA", at positions 509 to 807 of the family's 1533-position model. The record is from RNAcentral.
CAGCAGCCGCGGGAAUACGAAGGGUGCAAGCGUUACUCGGAAUUACUGGGCGUAAAGCGUGCGUAGGUGGUGGUUUAAGUCCGUUGUGAAAGCCCUGGGCUCAACCUGGGAAUUGCAGUGGAUACUGGGUCACUAGAGUGUGGUAGAGGAUAGUGGAAUUUCCGGUGUAGCAGUGAAAUGCGUAGAGAUCGGAAGGAACAUCUGUGGCGAAGGCGACUAUCUGGGCCAAAACUGACACUGAGGCACGAAAGCGUGGGGAGCAAACAGGAUUAGAGACCCCCGUAGUCCCUGUCUCUUAUAC